This 1331-nucleotide long non-coding RNA is filed under the name Gossypium barbadense (sea-island cotton). RNAcentral describes it as "long non-coding RNA (GBAR_LNC010792)". Lineage: Eukaryota; Viridiplantae; Streptophyta; Magnoliopsida; Malvales; Malvaceae. The record is from RNAcentral.
AAUUUAGAGGCAAGUCAAGAAUAAAAUAAAAAGGAAGGGUUAAAUUGAAAUCAAAACAGAAUUAAAAGGACAAUCUGUAAAUAAAUAAAUAAUUAAAACAGGAUUAGGGACUAAAAUAAGAUGCGCGAAAAUGAAAGGGGAUUAAAUGGGAAAAUAUCCCCAAAAUUCUGAACGCCCUAUUCCCUUUAGACAAUCGAGGGAUUAAAUUGCGCAGAAAAUAAAAUAAAGGGGUCAAAUUAAAAAUAAAAAUCAAAUAACAGGACAAAAUUGAAUAGCGGAGAAAAUGUGGAAGGACCAAAAGGCUAAAUAACCCCUUUUAAACAAAAACACGCGGAUCCCCUAAAGGUGGGUCGGGUCAGACCGGUCAUCCCCAAAACGACGUCGUUUUGAGGCGUUUCAGGUCAUUCCAAAACUACGCCGUUUUAAUGCCCUAUUUAAGUUAAUUUUUUUAAAAGAUUCAUUUCUCUCCUUCCUUCAAAAAAAAAAAACAGAAACAGCCCCCCACCUUCUCUCAACUCUCUCCUUGGCCGGCCAUUAACCUCGCCGACGGUUCACCAUGCCUCCGCCAUGAGCGGUGGCUGGAACCAUACAAAUAUCGGGCUCUUUCAGCCCCGUUUUGAAACGCCCUUGAAGGUUAAACCCCCGAAACCCGAAGAAUCGAAAGGAGGAGGCCCUCAACUCCCCUUUUGGGUCCAAAAUUGGUGACGAAGAAGAGCUCCGACGACACGACCACGGGGGUUCAAGUAAGUCUUCUUCCCCUCCUCUUUAUUUCUUUUUUAUUUGAAAUUGAUUUGCAAUAGAAAUAAGAAAAGAAAUCGAAAAGAAAAAAACCUUUUAGCCUCUGUAUUUGCUGUUUUGAUUUCUUAAUGUUUGUAAAAAAUACAAAAGGAUUGAUUUUGGCCUUUAUAGCCAAAUACAAGCUUGUCUUGUUUUCUUCUUCUUUUUUUUUUUGUCGUUUUCAUGUUGUUUGUUAAUGGUUUUUUGUCUUCUUGUCCAUUGUUUUCUUUUACUUGCGUGUUUGCUUCAUUUUGCAGGUGCCAAAGGCACGUGGAGGCAAGCCGAGAGGCGGUGGCAAAGACAAGGGUGACGUGCGGCGCUGGUUAAGCUGAAGGAGGCUAGGGUUUCUGUUUUUCUUCUGAAAGUUAAAGUUGUGGGCUUUUGGGCUACUAAAGUUUUUUAAUUUUAGGCCAUUUGAGUAGUGUAUUUGGGCUUGUAAAAAUUGGACUGUUUUAUUAUUUGGGUUUAUUGACCUGGGCCAAAAAUUGGCCAUUACAUUAGCAAUUGACAAAAAAGAAAUUGUUAGAGAUAAAAGAUAAUUUAUUGUUUCUCCG